CGAUGUUGUGGAGUUGUUGGAUUCGAUAGUGGUGGCGGUUCUUGGAAGGUUGAAGAAAAUUAGGUGAUGAAGGAAGAAGAAGAAGAAUCUGGAAGCGGUUUGAGAGAGGGAAGAAGAAGAAUAAUCUGGAAGAGGCUUUGAGAGAGUGAAUUUGUUAUUGAAAUGGCUCACAUCGCCGGCUUUAAGAAGCUGCUAAGCUGUUGUUGAAGCUUUGGUUUUGAAAGUUACGAGCUACGUCGCGGCUUGUUGUUGGUGUGGAUUGAUGGUGUUAGAAGCAUGGUUCUGCAGGUGUAGCUUUUGUGCUCUUUGACGGCUUGGAGGUUUUGGCUUGUAGCCGGUGUUGUUGCAUUUCGCCAGCUUGGCUCAUGCUUGAUUUGCAAUUGCUUCAGGCUUGAUUUGGUACCAUUUAUGCAGCUUAUGGAAGUGUGGUUGUUGUUCUUUGUUGUAGCUUUUCCUUUUGACCUUGAUGUGUUGUUGUUUGGCUGGCUCGCGUGUGGCUUGCCGUAUUGGAAGCAUGAAGUGUUGGUUGCACCUUGUCUUUGUAGUAGCUUCGUUGGAAGCAGCUGUUGUGUAGCCGCUGCAUUGAGUUCAGUGCGUUAUAUUGCGUUUUAUUGCGUUGUUGUUGCGUUUUGGAAGUGCUUAUCAGUUGUAGCAUUCAUUUCACUUGUUUAUUGCAACUUGUUUAAUGGUUAUGUACAGCAUGUAAAGUAUAACUUGGAUAAUUAUUUUAUUUAUUUUUAUGGAUUAA
This is a long non-coding RNA of Lathyrus oleraceus (garden pea), 748 nucleotides long. RefSeq lists it as uncharacterized. The record is from RefSeq and is a predicted model, not a curated record. Lineage: Eukaryota; Viridiplantae; Streptophyta; Magnoliopsida; Fabales; Fabaceae. The transcript is spliced from 2 exons.